GACGAACGCUGGCGGCGUGCUUAACACAUGCAAGUCGAACGGAAAGGCCCUGCUCUUGUGGGGUGCUCGAGUGGCGCACGGGUGAGUAACACGUGAGUAACCUGCCCUUGACUUUGGGAUAACUUCAGGAAACUGGGGCUAAUACCGGAUAGGAGCUCCUGCUGCAUGGUGGGGGUCGGAAAGUUUCGGCGGUGGGGGAUGGACUCGCGGCUUAUCAGCUUGUUGGUGGGGUAGUGGCUUACCAAGGCUUCGACGGGUAGCCGGCAUGGGAGGGUGACCGGCGACAUUGGGACUGAGAUACGGCCCAGUCGCGUACGGGAGGCAGCAGUGGGGAAUAUUGCAGAAUGGGCGGAAGCCUGAGGCAGCAACGCCGCGUGCGGGAUGACGGCCUUCGGGUUGUAAACCGCUUUCGCCUGUGACGAAGCGUGAGUGACGGUAAUGGGUAAAGAAGCACCGGCUAACUACGUG
RNAcentral lists this ribosomal RNA (468 nucleotides) under uncultured bacterium. RNAcentral's name for it is "partial 16S ribosomal RNA". It matches the Rfam family "Bacterial small subunit ribosomal RNA", at positions 28 to 507 of the family's 1533-position model. The record is from RNAcentral.